Tripterygium wilfordii is the source of this 668-nucleotide long non-coding RNA. RefSeq lists it as uncharacterized. Lineage: Eukaryota; Viridiplantae; Streptophyta; Magnoliopsida; Celastrales; Celastraceae. The record is from RefSeq and is a predicted model, not a curated record. The transcript has 5 exons.
CUCCCAGAAGAGUCGUCACCGGUAAUCUCACUGCCAUCAUUAUUGAGGCGAUGUUUGUUGACUUUGGCCUAGCAAAGCAGAGAAGUGGACAUUGCUACCUGAGGCUCUGUACUCUUGAAUUUGAGACACGGCACGCUUCAUACUACUGGUUAUUAAAUGCACUGGGCAUUUACCAACCCUAUGUAUGGGAGUACUCAAGGCUGAAUGUUACGUACACAAUAGUCGUGCUACGUCCUCUCGCGCUGCGGACCUUAUCUCUCCUUCGCUCUCCCUUUUUUAUUUACUAAUCUAUAAAUGAAUCAUUUUGCUCCGUAAUAUCACUUGUUCGUCAUGUGUUGUUAGUCAGGUAGUCAUUACCAAUCUAGAAUCUGGCAAUAUUAGGGAUCUUGAUGCAAAGAAAUGGCUUGAUGCAGGAUGCAACUUACAAGGUACCCUUUUCUAAUAUCAUAUACAUUGAUCACUCUGAUUUCCGGAUGAAAGAUUCAAAAGAUUUUUAUGGGCAUGCUCCUGGUAAAUCUGUCCCUCUCAGGUAUGCAUUUCCAAUAAAGUGUACUAAUGUACUCCUUGCUGAGAAUAAAAACUCUUCUUGAGAUCCAUGCAGAGUAUGAUCCUUUUGCAUCUUUUAAAGGAAGGAAAGUGGCUUGAUAUUGGUUCAAAUCCAAUUCGUG